Molecule: ribosomal RNA, 286 nt
Filed under: uncultured marine eukaryote
Lineage: Eukaryota
Description: partial 18S ribosomal RNA
Rfam family: Eukaryotic small subunit ribosomal RNA
Source: RNAcentral
UGGUUAAAAAGCUCGUAGUUGGAUCUCAACAGCCUUGGAAGCGGUUAACUUUGUAGUUUUACUGCUUUAUAGGCUGUGCUUUUGCUGGAGGUUUAGGGGUGCUCUUGAUCGAGUGUCUCUGGAUGCCAGCAGGUUUACUUUGAAAAAAUUAGAGUGCUCAAAGCAGGCUAAAAUGCCUGAAUAUUCGUGCAUGGAAUAAUAGAAUAGGAUGUCGAUCCUAUUUUGUUGGUUUUCGGGACUCGACAUAAUGAUAAAUAGGGACAGUCGGGGGCAUUUGUAUUCAAAC